GCUCGGUUAAUUAAGUGGUCAAAGACCUCCGACUUUCUAUCGGAUAACAUGGUUCGAAUCCCAUACCGAGUA
This 72-nucleotide transfer RNA is filed under the name Eubacterium sp. RNAcentral describes it as "tRNA-Glu". It matches the Rfam family "tRNA". Rfam says of the family: Transfer RNA (tRNA) molecules are approximately 80 nucleotides in length. Their secondary structure includes four short double-helical elements and three loops (D, anti-codon, and T loops). Further hydrogen bonds mediate the characteristic L-shaped molecular structure. tRNAs have two regions of fundamental functional importance: the anti-codon, which is responsible for specific mRNA codon recognition, and the 3' end, to which the tRNAs corresponding amino acid is attached (by aminoacyl-tRNA synthetases). tRNAs cope with the degeneracy of the genetic code in two manners: having more than one tRNA (with a specific anti-codon) for a particular amino acid; and 'wobble' base-pairing, i.e. permitting non-standard base-pairing at the 3rd anti-codon position. Lineage: Bacteria; Bacillati; Bacillota; Clostridia; Eubacteriales; Eubacteriaceae. The record is from RNAcentral.